This 72-nucleotide transfer RNA is filed under the name Capra hircus (goat). It matches the Rfam family "tRNA". Rfam says of the family: Transfer RNA (tRNA) molecules are approximately 80 nucleotides in length. Their secondary structure includes four short double-helical elements and three loops (D, anti-codon, and T loops). Further hydrogen bonds mediate the characteristic L-shaped molecular structure. tRNAs have two regions of fundamental functional importance: the anti-codon, which is responsible for specific mRNA codon recognition, and the 3' end, to which the tRNAs corresponding amino acid is attached (by aminoacyl-tRNA synthetases). tRNAs cope with the degeneracy of the genetic code in two manners: having more than one tRNA (with a specific anti-codon) for a particular amino acid; and 'wobble' base-pairing, i.e. permitting non-standard base-pairing at the 3rd anti-codon position. RNAcentral also lists the same sequence under 1 other name. The record is from Rfam by way of RNAcentral. Lineage: Eukaryota; Metazoa; Chordata; Mammalia; Artiodactyla; Bovidae.
UCCCUGGUGACUCAGACAGUAAAGAAUCUGCCUGCAAUGCAGGAGACCCAGGUUCGAUCCCUGGGUUGGGAA